This 563-nucleotide ribosomal RNA is filed under the name uncultured bacterium. Its description in RNAcentral is "partial 16S ribosomal RNA". It matches the Rfam family "Bacterial small subunit ribosomal RNA", at positions 355 to 939 of the family's 1533-position model. The record is from RNAcentral.
UGGGGAAUAUUGGGCAAUGGGGGCAACCCUGAUCCAGCCAUGCCGCGUGAGUGAUGAAGGCCUUCGGGUUGUAAAGCUCUUUUGGCGGGGACGAUGAUGACGGUACCCGCAGAAUAAGCCCCGGCUAACUUCGUGCCGGCAGCCGCGGUAAGACGAAGGGGGCUAGCGUUGUUCGGAAUUACUGGGCGUAAAGCGAGUGUAGGCGGUUGUCGUAGUCAGGUGUGAAAGCCUUGAGCUCAACUCAAGAAAUGCACUUGAUACUGGGUGACUAGAGGACCGGAGAGGAUAGUGGAAUUCCCAGUGUAGUGGUGAAAUACGUAGAGAUUGGGAAGAACACCGGUGGCGAAGGCGGCUAUCUGGACGGUUACUGACGCUAAGACUCGAAAGCGUGGGGAGCAAACAGGAUUAGAUACCCUGGUAGUCCACGCCGUAAACGAUGGGUGCUAGACGUUGGCGAGCUUGCUCGUCAGUGUCGCAGCUAACGCGUUAAGCACCCCGCCUGGGGAGUACGGCCGCAAGGUUGAAACUCAAAAGGAAUUGACGGGGGUCAUAGCUGUUUUCCU